AGAGUUUGAUCAUGGCUCAGGAUGAACGCUAGCGGAAGGCUUAAUACAUGCAAGUCGAGCGGUAGGUGGCUUCGGCCAUUGAGAGCGGCGCACGGGUGAGUAACGCGUACAUGACCUGCCUGUCAGAAGGGGAUAGCCCUGGGAAACUGGGAUUAAUACCCUAUGGUAUUGAUAUUAUGAAUGAUAUCAAUUAAAGUUGAGGCGCUGACAGAUGGAUGUGCGUCUGAUUAGCUAGUUGGUAGGGUAACGGCCUACCAAGGCGACGAUCAGUAGGGGGCGUGAGAGCGUGGUCCCCCACACGGGUACUGAGACACGGACCCGACUCCUACGGGAGGCAGCAGUAAGGAAUAUUGGUCAAUGCCCGCAAGGGUGAACCAGCCAUUCCGCGUGGAGGAUGAAGGCCCUAUGGGUUGUAAACUUCUUUUAGAUGGGAAGAAAAUGCUAGAUGUAUCUGGUACUGACGGUACCAUCAGAAUAAGCACCGGCUAACUCCGUG
RNAcentral lists this ribosomal RNA (496 nucleotides) under uncultured bacterium. RNAcentral's name for it is "bacterial SSU rRNA". It matches the Rfam family "Bacterial small subunit ribosomal RNA", at positions 8 to 507 of the family's 1533-position model. The record is from RNAcentral.